ACGCCGCAGGGGUCCACUCAGCUGUGCGCGCCUCGCGAGCCGACUGGGGCUAGGGCGAGGCCUCGGGACCGCGGGCAGCCGCGAAGCCCGACUGCCCGGCCCUCGGCUCGGGAGCCAGAUGGACGCCGUGGGCUGAGGAGAGGCCUGAGGAAAAGGUUGCCCCCACCCGCGGGAUUGAGGCGGCCGGGCCGCCGCGGGCCUCUGCGACGCUGAUAGGUCGCGCCUUGGCGGGCGGGGGCAGCUUUGGCGGGAGAUUCGGCCGCGCGCGACGCGGCGCAGGUCGUGGGGGAAGGGUAAGCGGCACGUUUCUCGGCCUGGGUCGUGGCGCAUCUCCCAUUGGUUCCGGCCUGGGUGGAGCGCGGCUCUGCUUGGUUCCUGCCCAGGUGGGGGCGUGUCUCCUCCCUGGCGGGAACCCGGAACCCGGAACCCGGAAGGCGCGGCCUGUGGCGGGUACUGACUGCUUCCCACGGUCCCGUGGCCGCUGCAGGCCCCGUACGCGCCGUCUAUUGUUUUGAGCCGCUUAAAGUUUUGGAGUAACCUUUUAGGUCGCAACAGUUGACAACUACACUGAGUCUUUCCGGUCCCACUGCCCUGGCCGUUGACCGCACACCGGCCACCGACUGAGCCGCUAGUUUCGGUUGCCGCUGCCUCCCUGCCCGUCCAUGACGUCCUCCACUGUGUCGCCGGUGCAUGACGCUCCCACCCUCUGCCUGGAGUUGACUGGGUUUGUAUCCUGAAGAAUCCCUGGCUCAGCAGGAUUACGUGUACUGUUUCCCCAAGAACCAUCCUGUGGGUCAAGAAGCAGAAUGGGGAAAAGGCAGCAAGCACUCACUGUCCGGUUGCUGGGGUGCUCACCUGAGGGCCCAGUGCUGUGGGGAACCCCAGGCUGCUGUCUUGGCUGCCCUAGGUGCUCGGCUGGCAAUUCCUGGGCCACCCUGACCCACAGUGAGGUCAGUAGAGACAGCCUGGUGUCCUCACAGGACGCAGCUGCAAACAUAAGUGAACCGGAAAGGCUGCUCACUCCUUGGCUACCCAUGUGUCCCCACAUCAGUUCCUGCAUCUGGAAGCAGCCGCAGUGGCGACCACACAGUGACUUCCCCCAGGACGUGUCUCUGCCCCUCCCACCCUGCUCCUGCAGAGGGCCCUGGGUCAGGGGUUCUCAAGACCCCAGAGUCCCUAACCAGAAAUCAGAGGGGAAGGUUCCUACUGUACCCGCCUCCCAACCAAUGGGUUUUUCCUCCUUAUUCUGAACAAAGCACGCCACGCACGCAAUUCCACCUCUAAGGUGGCUUCUCCAAUACCCACAGGCCAUUCUCCAACUAUGACAAAAGUUUGGUUUUAAUAUCGGGCAACACAAAACACAGUACAUCACUUCAGACUAAAU
This 1384-nucleotide long non-coding RNA is filed under the name Homo sapiens (human). Its description in RNAcentral is "non-protein coding lnc-TACC3-1:2". Lineage: Eukaryota; Metazoa; Chordata; Mammalia; Primates; Hominidae. The record is from RNAcentral.